This 2966-nucleotide long non-coding RNA is filed under the name Marmota monax (woodchuck). The record is from RNAcentral. Lineage: Eukaryota; Metazoa; Chordata; Mammalia; Rodentia; Sciuridae.
UGGGUGCCAGUUGGGCAUGCCAAAAUUUGUGGCUCGUGUGUGUGCUUGUGCACGCAAAUACACACACAUACCAUGUUUACAUGGUUCAAUCUUUGCACCUCCUCACCCUCUCUGAUAACAGCUGGCCUGCCAUUCUGUAUAGCAGCAACAUUGUAGAGAGUUAUUUCUCCAAAUUGCUCCAGGCAUUUGCCUACCUUCAGCAGUGGUGGAGAUUGCCUUUCAAAUGUUACCUUGAUUCCCUGAAGACAUUGACCGUCAACUCCCUGAAUUUUAGCAGAAUCUUUAUGGGUUCCAGGAGCAUUGUCAGUACUAAGAGUCAAAUUCCAGAGACCAGACAUCACUGGGUGAUUGCAGCGACUUCUCACUCAGCAGGUCUUGGCAGUGUCUUUGGCCUUGGCAGUCCUAAGAGGACCAAGGGCGUGUGGUGAUAUAGUUUAGGCUGUAAAAAUGGUGGCUUGGGAGGGAAAGGGGAAUGGGACUGGCAAGUUCCAACACAAGAUAGAUAUACUCCUUGGUAAUAGAUUUGGAAAUAACCUGAUGAUGACUGUAUGUUGUAACUCAAGUCAGCCAACCUCUUCUCUUUCCCCCCCGGUUGCACUUUCAUACAUAUAUUCUGAACCAGAUGAUGGUGCACAAUACUGCAUUAUGUGAGCUUUCAAGUGACCAGAAUUUGAUAGCCAAGGGGUCAUCUUCAGAUUAAUUAUUCAUGGAAAUUCUUGCCAAUUGGGAAUAAGAGGAAAUUACAAUCGAUGAUUAUGGUAAUUUGUUUUUGUUUAUAGAGAUCGACUUUCAGAAAUGUGUCUGAGUAAAUGCAUAGUAAAAAUUCCACAAAAUAACAAGACUGUUAAAAAUGGGAAGGAAAGAUAAACUAAAAUCCUAAGUGUUUACUGCUUUAUUUACUUUAUCUCUGAGCUUUGUAACAGCCAAGUUAAUAGGAAAAACAGAGAGAGAGAAAGAGAGAUCUGGAGGGCAUACAAGCAAGUUGUUGGUAUAGAUCAGAUAAUAUGUAGAGAGCUCACCAUGAUGCCUGGCAACUAGAAUAUAUUCAUAUGAAAGAUCAAAUUAUGCCAUGGACAGUGCUUCAACUUGGAUUCUACAGAAAAUGAAGUUUAUAUGGUCAUGUGUUUUACCAGUCCUCAAGAGGGAGAAAAAAAUUUCAGAAGGCUCAGUGAAGAAAAGUAACCAGAUAUGAGUUAUCUCUGGGGCCCAAGCUCCUGUGAUCCAGUGAUGGAGAUUCUGGCGAUGAUCCUCAAUGCAGAAAACCUAGUGGAAUGAAUGGCUAACAUGUCCAUUAAACUAACUUUCUGAGACAUGCAGUGUGUCCACCAGGCUUUUCAUUAGAGCAAUCUGAGAGGACAGAAUAGGCAGGUACUUGAAAAUGACCCUAUAGCCAUAAACUUCCCUGAUUGGUGGACCUUCUGCUUUGUGCUUUUAGUCUAUGUAGUUCUUAUACUUCAGGAAGUCUGUUUCAAUUCCUGCCCCCACCUCUAAAUUGUGAUGAGAGGCUGUGAGUGGGUUUAUUCAUCCUUGACACUCCAGUGCCUGAUAGAUAAGGAGCUUGGCACAAGAGCACAGGUAAACUUCUAGUGGAAGAACAGAAGGGAGAGAAGGGGUGGUGCUUCUCAUUUUCCUCUGUGUUGGUAAGUGAGUGCCAUCUUCUAACUUUUGGUUUUGCCCAAAGUGAAUGUUUACUGCCUGGAUUGCAUCAUAGGCCAAAUCAUGCAACUGUUUUGCUAAGAAGGGCUUGUUCUGGUGUCAAAGCUGGUUGAGCAAUGCAUGACAAGUUAACUCCUUACUUUAUUUACAGUCACUUUGAUCCUUUGAUUUGAUUGCUUAUUCCAUCUGCAGAUAUUAUGUGCCCACUGUGUGCCUGAUCCUGCUAGUCACCUUGAAGUUUGGUGUGCAGCCAGUGACAUAUGAGACAAUAUACAGAGAUUAAGACAAAGGGAUUCUGAAAUGCUCUCCACUGGGAUGAAAUGGAUGUGCCUCUUGGAGUUUCUCAUGUGAACCCUUAGCUGAAAUAAAGUCAUUUUAUUUCUGAGGAGCUGAUUGCUUUGUGGUUUUCUGUAGCCCAAGGGUAUUAGUAUGAAUUCCAGUGGGAUUCACCCAGGAUUCUCUUGUACCCAAGUGGUGUAGGAAAUAAUAUGUUAAGCCAGUGCACUUCUGGAUUGAGGAUGUCCAUUCUCCACUUUAAGUUCCCAAACCUGUUUGUCAACUGUGGCACUUAAGAAAGUGGGGAUAGGGCAAGGGGAGGGUAUCUAAAUCAUUGAGUCACAAGUAAUGUACUUCCAUAUCCUCCUCUCAGGAAUCUGGCCAGGUGACACCUAGAUUAGUGAUCUACAUUCAAUAUUGAUGUUCUUUGGUCCCUACUGUCCUAAUUUCAAGGGGCUGUGGAGACUUUCUGUACUGGCAGCUUUUCUUGUGGCAGUACUAUUUUUAUUGAGUAAGAAACUGAGUUCUGUGAACUCGAGUGUCUUUUUCCAAGCAGCAAGUCAGGAGAGCCUGGAAUGAGAAGGCAGGAAGCUUGACUAUGCCCGGAGAAGCUUACUGCAGCAUUUCCACCAGGACAGUCCCACAUCCCACAUAAGGGACAUAGAUGUGCUGGAGAAUAUUGAUCACCUCUUUUUUCCUCAGACCCAUUAAGUUUGCAAUCUGUGGGUCUACUCUUAACCACCCAGAAUACCUGCAUGCAAAGCUUUGACCAAAAAAAAAAAAAAAAAAACCCAACCUCAAACUGUCUUCUGGGCUAUGCUUAUCAAAAAUUCAAUGAUAUUUUUGUAGACAUGUUCAAAGGACAGAAAAACCAAAACAUGAAUUCAUGAUCCAACUUGUCACUGUGAGGAAGAUCAUGGCCUACAUAUGGGAGCUCUGGUUUUAUCUUCCUGAUCUUGAUGUUUUAUUCUAAUUUUUACUUUUCCUAAUCCUGCUUUCAAAAAUUGCUCAGCACCUAUAAGAGUUAGGAAAGG